UGGAUCCAGACUUUGAUUCUGGCUCAGGAUGAACGCUAGCUACAGGCUUAACACAUGCAAGUCGAGGGGCAUCAGUUUGGUUUGCUUGCAAACCAAAGCUGGCGACCGGCGCACGGGUGAGUAACACGUAUCCAACCUGCCUCAUACUCGGGGAUAGCCUUUCGAAAGAAAGAUUAAUAUCCGAUAGCAUAUAUUUCCCGCAUGGGUUUUAUAUUAAAGAAAUUCGGUAUGAGAUGGGGAUGCGUUCCAUUAGUUUGUUGGCGGGGUAACGGCCCACCAAGACUACGAUGGAUAGGGGUUCUGAGAGGAAGGUCCCCCACAUUGGAACUGAGACACGGUCCAAACUCCUACGGGAGGCAGCAGUGAGGAAUAUUGGUCAAUGGACGCGAGUCUGAACCAGCCAAGUAGCGUGAAGGAUGACUGCCCUAUGGGUUGUAAACUUCUUUUAUAUGGGAAUAAAGUGGUCCACGUGUGGAUUUUUGUAUGUACCAUAUGAAUAAGGAUCGGCUAACUCCGUGCCAGCAGCCGCGGUAAUACGGAGGAUCCGAGCGUUAUCCGGAUUUAUUGGGUUUAAAGGGAGCGUAGGCGGAUUGUUAAGUCAGUUGUGAAAGUUUGCGGCUCAACCGUAAAAUUGCAGUUGAUACUGGCAGUCUUGAGUGCAGUAGAGGUGGGCGGAAUUCGUGGUGUAGCGGUGAAAUGCUUAGAUAUCACGAAGAACUCCGAUUGCGAAGGCAGCUCACUGGAGUGUAACUGACGCUGAUGCUCGAAAGUGUGGGUAUCAAACAGGAUUAGAUACCCUGGUAGUCCACACAGUAAACGAUGAAUACUCGCUGUUUGCGAUAUACAGUAAGCGGCCAAGCGAAAGCAUUAAGUAUUCCACCUGGGGAGUACGCCGGCAACGGUGCAACUCAAAGGAAUUGACGGA
RNAcentral lists this ribosomal RNA (925 nucleotides) under uncultured organism. RNAcentral's name for it is "bacterial SSU rRNA". It matches the Rfam family "Bacterial small subunit ribosomal RNA", at positions 1 to 917 of the family's 1533-position model. The record is from RNAcentral.